GGGGUUAUAGUUCAGGGGAAGAGCUUGUGUUUAGCAUGCACAAGGCCCUGGUUUCAAUCCCCAGCAUCUCCA
This is a non-coding RNA of Ictidomys tridecemlineatus (thirteen-lined ground squirrel), 72 nucleotides long. Lineage: Eukaryota; Metazoa; Chordata; Mammalia; Rodentia; Sciuridae. The record is from Rfam.